ACGAGAAUAUUCCGCAAUGGACGCAAGUCUGACGGAGCGACACUGCGUGAUGGAUGAAGUGCUUCGGUACGUAAACAUCUUUUAUCGGGGAAGAAAUUAUUGACGGUACCCGGUGAAUAAGGGGCUCCUAACUCUGUGCCAGCAGGAGCGGUAAUACAGAGGCCCCAAGCGUUACCCGGAAUCACUGGGCGUAAAGGGUGUCCAGGUGGCCAUAUUAGUUCUUCGUAAAAUCCGUAGGCUUAACCUACGGCGCGCGGGGAAAACGGUAUGGCUCGAGGGCGCGAGAGGUGCACGGAACUCAUGGUGGAGGGGUGAAAUCCGUUGAUAUCAUGGGGAACACCAAAGGCGAAGGCAGUGCACUGGCGCGUUCCUGACACUCACACACGAAAGCCAGGGGAGCGAACGGGAUUAGAUACCCGCGUAGUCC
Molecule: ribosomal RNA, 427 nt
Filed under: uncultured bacterium
Lineage: Bacteria
Description: bacterial SSU rRNA
Rfam family: Bacterial small subunit ribosomal RNA
Source: RNAcentral